UACGUAGGGUGCGAGCGUUAAUCGGAAUUACUGGGCGUAAAGCGUGCGCAGGCGGUUCUGCAAGUCAGAUGUGAAAUCCCCGGGCCUAACCUGGGAACUGCGUUUGUGACUGCAAGACUGGAGUGCGGCAGAGGGGGGUGGAAUUCCACGUGUAGCAGUGAAAUGCGUAGAGAUGUGGAGGAACACCGAUGGCGAAGGCAGCCCCCUGGGUCGACACUGACGCUCAUGCACGAAAGCGUGGGUAGCAAACAGG
RNAcentral lists this ribosomal RNA (253 nucleotides) under uncultured Rhodocyclaceae bacterium. RNAcentral describes it as "partial 16S ribosomal RNA". It matches the Rfam family "Bacterial small subunit ribosomal RNA", at positions 524 to 776 of the family's 1533-position model. Lineage: Bacteria; Pseudomonadati; Pseudomonadota; Betaproteobacteria; Rhodocyclales; Rhodocyclaceae. The record is from RNAcentral.